UCCCAUAUGGUCUAGCGGUCCGGAUUCCUGGUUUCCCCCCAUCCGCCCCGGGUUCAACUCCCAGUAUGGGAA
Molecule: transfer RNA, 72 nt
Filed under: Perca fluviatilis (European perch)
Lineage: Eukaryota; Metazoa; Chordata; Actinopteri; Perciformes; Percidae
Description: tRNA-Gly
Source: RNAcentral